UACGUAGGUGGCGAGCGUUGUCCGGAUUUACUGGGCGUAAAGGGCGUGCAGGCGGUUUGUUAAGUGCAGGGUGAAAGCUCCCGGCUCAACUGGGAGAGGUCCUUGCAUACUGGCGAACUCGAGGGAGGCAGAGGAAAGUGGAAUUCCCGGUGUAGUGGUGAUAUGCGUAGAUAUCGGGAGGAACACCGGUGGCGAAGGCGGUUCUCUGGGCCUGUACUGACGCUGAGGAGCGAAAGCGUGGGGGAGCGAACAGG
Molecule: ribosomal RNA, 254 nt
Filed under: uncultured bacterium
Lineage: Bacteria
Description: partial 16S ribosomal RNA
Rfam family: Bacterial small subunit ribosomal RNA
Source: RNAcentral